CAGUAGCCACGGUAAUACGUAGGUCCCGAGCGUUGUCCGGAUUUAUUGGGCGUAAAGCGAGCGCAGGCGGUUAGAUAAGUCUGAAGUUAAAGGCUGUGGCUUAACCAUAGUACGCUUUGGAAACUGUUUAACUUGAGUGCAAGAGGGGAGAGUGGAAUUCCAUGUGUAGCGGUGAAAUGCGUAGAUAUAUGGAGGAACACCGGUGGCGAAAGCGGCUCUCUGGCUUGUAACUGACGCUGAGGCUCGAAAGCGUGGGGAGCAAACAAGAUUAGAUACCCCAGUAGUCCCUGUCUCGUAUACA
Molecule: ribosomal RNA, 301 nt
Filed under: uncultured bacterium
Lineage: Bacteria
Description: partial 16S ribosomal RNA
Rfam family: Bacterial small subunit ribosomal RNA
Source: RNAcentral